GAAGUAGCAGGCCUAACCGUAAGGAGGGAUGCUCCGAGGGUGUGAUUAGCGAUUGGGGUGAAGUCGUAACAAGGUAUCCGUACGGGAACGUGCGGAUGGAUCACCUCCUUU
RNAcentral lists this ribosomal RNA (111 nucleotides) under Fusobacterium simiae. Its description in RNAcentral is "partial 16S ribosomal RNA". It matches the Rfam family "Bacterial small subunit ribosomal RNA", at positions 1423 to 1533 of the family's 1533-position model. The record is from RNAcentral. RNAcentral also lists the same sequence under 5 other names. Lineage: Bacteria; Fusobacteriati; Fusobacteriota; Fusobacteriia; Fusobacteriales; Fusobacteriaceae.